GAUGAACGCUGGCGGCGUGCCUAAUACAUGCAAGUCGAGCGAACAGACGAGAGUGCUUGCACUCUCUGACGUUAGCGGCGGACGGGUGAGUAACACAUGGGUAACCUACCUAUAAGACUGGGAUAACUUCGGGAAACCGGAGCUAAUACCGGAUAAUAUUUAGCUUCGCAUGAAGCAAUAGUGAAAGACGGUUCUGCUGUCACUUAUAGAUGGACCCGCGGUGUAUUAGCUAGUUGGUGAGGUAACGGCUCACCAAGGCAACGAUACAUAGCCGACCUGAGAGGGUGAUCGGCCACACUGGGACUGAGACACGGCCCAGACUCCUACGGGAGGCAGCAGUAGGGAAUCUUCCGCAAAGGACGAAAGUCUGACGGAGCAAUGCCGCGUGAGUGAAGAAGGUUUUCGGAUCGUAAAACUCUGUUGUAAGGGAAGAACAAGUACGUUAGUAACUGAACGUACCUUGACGGUACCUUACCAGAAAGCCACGGCUAACUACGUG
RNAcentral lists this ribosomal RNA (499 nucleotides) under uncultured bacterium. RNAcentral describes it as "partial 16S ribosomal RNA". It matches the Rfam family "Bacterial small subunit ribosomal RNA", at positions 28 to 507 of the family's 1533-position model. The record is from RNAcentral.